AUUGAACGCUGGCGGCAGGCCUAACACAUGCAAGUCGAACGGUAACAGGAAACAGCUUGCUGUUUCGCUGACGAGUGGCGGACGGGUGAGUAAUGUCUGGGAAACUGCCUGAUGGAGGGGGAUAACUACUGGAAACGGUAGCUAAUACCGCAUAACGUCGCAAGACCAAAGAGGGGGACCUUCGGGCCUCUUGCCAUCGGAUGUGCCAGAUGGGAUUAGCUAGUGGGUGGGGUAACGGCUCACCUAGGCGACGAUCCCUAGCUGGUCUGAGAGGAUGACCAGCCACACUGGAACUGAGACACGGUCCAGACUCCUACGGGAGGCAGCAGUGGGGAAUAUUGCACAAUGGGCGCAAGCCUGAUGCAGCCAUGCCGCGUGUAUGAAGAAGGCCUUCGGGUUGUAAAGUACUUUCAGCGGGGAGGAAGGGAGUAAAGUUAAUACCUUUACUCAUUGACGUUACCCGCAGAAGAAGCACCGGCUAACUCCGUG
Molecule: ribosomal RNA, 489 nt
Filed under: uncultured bacterium
Lineage: Bacteria
Description: partial 16S ribosomal RNA
Rfam family: Bacterial small subunit ribosomal RNA
Source: RNAcentral